RNAcentral lists this ribosomal RNA (585 nucleotides) under uncultured bacterium. Its description in RNAcentral is "partial 16S ribosomal RNA". It matches the Rfam family "Bacterial small subunit ribosomal RNA", at positions 355 to 938 of the family's 1533-position model. The record is from RNAcentral.
UGGGGAAUUUUGGACAAUGGGCGAAAGCCUGAUCCAGCAAUGCCGCGUGUGUGAAGAAGGCCUUCGGGUUGUAAAGCACUUUUGUCCGGAAAGAAAUCCUUGGCUCUAAUACAGUCGGGGGAUGACGGUACCGGAAGAAUAAGCACCGGCUAACUACGUGCCAGCAGCCGCGGUAAUACGUAGGGUGCAAGCGUUAAUCGGAAUUACUGGGCGUAAAGCGUGCGCAGGCGGUUUGCUAAGACCGAUGUGAAAUCCCCGGGCUCAACCUGGGAACUGCAUUGGUGACUGGCAGGCUAGAGUAUGGCAGAGGGGGGUAGAAUUCCACGUGUAGCAGUGAAAUGCGUAGAGAUGUGGAGGAAUACCGAUGGCGAAGGCAGCCCCCUGGGCCAAUACUGACGCUCAUGCACGAAAGCGUGGGGAGCAAACAGGAUUAGAUACCCUGGUAGUCCACGCCCUAAACGAUGUCAACUAGUUGUUGGGGAUUCAUUUCCUUAGUAACGUAGCUAACGCGUGAAGUUGACCGCCUGGGGAGUACGGUCGCAAGAUUAAAACUCAAAGGAAUUGACGGGGCCAUAGCUGUUUCCU